Quercus robur (English oak) is the source of this 1278-nucleotide long non-coding RNA. RefSeq lists it as uncharacterized. The record is from RefSeq and is a predicted model, not a curated record. The transcript is spliced from 4 exons. Lineage: Eukaryota; Viridiplantae; Streptophyta; Magnoliopsida; Fagales; Fagaceae.
AUAAUAAAAGCCAUCAAUUUCUCACACCAAAAGGGUUUUAAAGUUACAGAGACAGUUUGCUGAAAGAGGAAAAACACAAAAGAAUAGAGAGAGACAGAGAGAUUUCGUAAACUGUAAAAGAACAGAGAUUGAAAGAAAGAUCGAAAAUGUUACAAAAGAGAGAUCAAAAGUGCCUUCAGUCGAGAUAAUGAACCCAUUAAAACAAAUGAAGAACAGAGAUCGACAAAGAGAUAAAUUUCAGGGCAGCCACCACCGUCAUGCAAUCGGAACCGUUACUAGUGAAGGUUUUCUUUAUUCUUUUUAAAAUUACAUGAUAACUAUGAUUUAUAUUUGAGAGUUUCGAUUUAGGCAUUUGGGUUAGAUUUGGUUUUGUUCAAGGUUAUAGGAUUAAAUUUGGUUUAUGGGUAGGGUAUAUGUGUUGCUUUGGAUUUAUUUAACUCUCUCUUGGAUUCAAUUGUAGAUUUCAUUUGUAAAUGAUUGAUUUCAAUUUCAAAUCUAUGUAAUAAAAAAUUAAAAGGUUUUUCUUUAACUUCUUUUUUUUUAUGGGUUUAUUGGUGGAAAGGCAAAUCCUUGGAAGCAAUCCAAGUCAGAUUAGAAGCGAUACUACCAGCUAUAGUUUCCACUCUAUUGGAACCAUCACUGGGACGUUAAAAGGAAGCAAGAGAGAGAAGAGCAAGAAAAAAAAAUUGCAGACAUAGAAGGUAUAAGCUAUGAGAGGCUUUAGUUGAACUUUGAAGUUAACAAAGAAGACAGAAGGGUUUAUCUUGAUUUGGCACCCACGAAAUAUCUUCAGUCUACAAUUCAAAUGCUAUCAGGAAACACAAGCUCAGGAAAAUCAAAUCUUCAACUUUAUUGGUUGUGGUACAAAAUACUAAAACGAAGAGGGAACAGCCACCAGGCAAUGAAUAUCAAAACCUUCUUCUGUAUCUAAAGAGGUACUAACUAACUUUGUUUAUUCAUUUUUUUAUGUUGUUUGGUAAUGGUUUUUUUGCUAAUCGGAGUAGUUUGUUUGUUUUGCUUUGAUUUCUUUAUUGGUUGAGAUAUUUACUGACUCACACUGUUUCUAUAAUUUAUUACUUGGUCUUUGCAUCAUGCGAGUACAAUGAUGAAAACAUAUGUCACAUUACAUUUAAAAAUUUUCAGGUGCUGGUACAUUUGCAAGCUCAUUAGUUGCUCUAUAUAAUACCUUUAUAAAUAGGCUCAACUGCUCAAGUAGUUGGUUGCAAUCCCACGGUGCUUUUACGUAGUUGUGCUUAUUUUGUCUUGGGUGUAAUUUUU